AUUGAACGCUGGCGGCAGGCCUAACACAUGCAAGUCGAACGAGUGGCGGACGGGUGAGUAAUGUCUGGGAAACUGCCUGAUGGAGGGGGAUAACUACUGGAAACGGUAGCUAAUACCGCAUACCAUCAGAUGUGCCCAGAUGGGUUUAGCUUGUAGGUGGGGUAAUGGCUCACCUAGGCGACGAUCCCUAGCUGUUCUGAGAGGAUGACAAGCCACACUGGAACUUAGACACGGUCCAGACUCCUACGGGAGGCAGCAGUGGGGAAGAUUGCACAAUGGGCGCAAGCCUGAUACAGCCAUGCCGCGUGUAUGAAGGAGGCCUUCGGGUUGUAAAGUACUUUCAGCGGGGAGGCGUUACCCGCAGAAGAAGCACCGGCUAACUCCGUGCCAGCAGCCGCGGUAAUAC
RNAcentral lists this ribosomal RNA (406 nucleotides) under uncultured bacterium. Its description in RNAcentral is "partial 16S ribosomal RNA". It matches the Rfam family "Bacterial small subunit ribosomal RNA", at positions 30 to 526 of the family's 1533-position model. The record is from RNAcentral.